AUGGGCGUGCUCUUCUCGUGUCCCGUGGAGGACGACGGCGAAUGCGGCCUCGUCGCGGCGUCGGCGGCGGCGGCGGAGGAGCAGCAGGCCACGUUCCUCAAGGCGUCGCUCGGCUCCGGCAAGCUCCGGAUCGAGGGCUCCCUCAGCUUCAAGCGGCUCCAGCUGGUGGAGCCCAAUAUCUCAAUCACCAGUGACUCGCCCCGCCCCGACGCCGUCGCGGUGACCGCGCCGGUCCCGGUGCCGAGGGAGCUCCUCCGGACGCGGUUCGCCGACGCGGCGGUUACGGCGGCGGCGCAGCCGGAGAGCCCCAAGCACGAGGCGGCGGCCGUGACGCUGCAGAAGGUGUACAAGAGCUUCCGGACGCGGCGCCGGCUCGCCGACUGCGCCGUGCUCGUGGAGCAGAACUGGUGGGAGCUGCUGGACUUCGCGCUGCUCAAGCGGAGCUCCGUCUCCUUCUUCGACAUCGAGCGGCAGGAGACCGCCGUGUCCAAGUGGGCGCGCGCCAGGACCAGGGCCGCCAAAGUCGGAAAAGGGCUGUCCAAGGAUGACAAGGCUCGGAAGCUCGCAUUGCAGCACUGGCUUGAAGCUAUUGACCCGCGUCACCGGUACGGCCACAACCUUCACUACUACUACGACUGCUGGCUGAGGUGCGAAAGCAGGGAGCCUUUCUUCUACUGGCUCGACAUAGGAGAGGGCAAGGAGAUCAACCUCGAGGAGCGGUGCCCGCGGUCGAAGCUUCUCAGUCAGUGCAUCAAGUAUCUUGGUCCGAAAGAGAGAGAGGACUAUGAGGUUGUGAUUGAGGAUGGCAAGUUCAUGUACAAGAACAGCAGGCAAAUCCUCGAUACGUCGGGCGGUCCGAGGGAUGCAAAGUGGAUCUUUGUGCUGAGCACAUCCAGGAAUCUGUAUGUUGGGCAGAAGAAAAAGGGCACAUUUCAGCAUUCUAGCUUUCUCGCCGGAGGCGCCGCGUCUGCUGCGGGGCGACUAGUUGUUGAAGAUGGAGUUCUGAAGGCUAUCUGGCCUCACAGUGGGCACUACCGCCCCACAGAAGAGAACUUCCAGGAAUUCCAGGACUUCCUCAGAGAGAACAAGGUUGAUCUCAGCGAUGUUAAGAUGAGCCCAACUGAAGAGGAUGAGGAGUUUUGGAGCAGGCUGAGAAGCAUCCCUUCUGAGCGGUGCACCGAUGCCGACAAACCCGAAGAAGAAAUGGUUCCUGCUGCAGAAACCAUCCCUUGCCUGGCACCUCAGGUCACUGAAGCUACACCUGAAAAUGUCAUCCAACUCCAAGAAACAAGCAAAGAUCAUAGCCAACCGGAGAUAUUAACAAGGCUGGAUUCAUCGAAAGGCGCUGUAAACAUCGAAAAAUCAACAAAUUCCAUGCCUGAAGAUCAUCAGGAAGAUAGUGACGAUGAUCAUUCAUCGGUGCCAAGGGAGAAGAUCAUUGGGAGAGUCAACUCAUAUCAGCUGGGGAAGCAAGGGUCCUUCAAGUGGACCACCGGCGCCGGACCCCGGAUCAUUUGCGUCAGGGACUACCCGCCGGAGCUCCAGCACCGGGCGCUGGAGGAGGUGCACCUGUCCCCGAGGAGGAGCGGCAGGCCGACGUCGAGGUUCUCGUCGCCGCAGAGGGGCGGCAGCCCGAUGUCGAGAGGGUGUGAACCGCUGACGCCGAGAGAGGCGUUCCAUGCCACGCACCUGCAGCAAGGAUUACUGAUCAGUUUAUGA
Molecule: ribosomal RNA, 1719 nt
Filed under: Triticum aestivum (bread wheat)
Lineage: Eukaryota; Viridiplantae; Streptophyta; Magnoliopsida; Poales; Poaceae
Description: partial small subunit ribosomal RNA
Source: RNAcentral